UGCAAAUCCAUUUACCAAAUUUCUCUCUCUAUCUUUUUAUCUUUUUUUCUCUCAACAUAUAUACUUUACUUUUACUCAAUCUAGAUCAAUCUUUUUCAUAUCGAUAUUUUAAUUACAAAUGUUAAUCAUUCGCUAAAUAUACAUGUACAUAUAUAUGUAUGUACAGGGUGUAUAUGUAUACAGGGUCGAGAGCAUUUAAUACAGGUCAUCUGAAUAACUCGUUUGUCUUCAACGAUAGAGAAAAAAGUUCCAGACGAAAGUGGCUCGAUGUCGAUGGGCAGAUAAUAUGAUGACAAUGAUUUUGUGAUGGCUGGAGGCGUAGAGGACACACGAAGGACAAAUGUAUUUUUUGAAACACAGAACGGAGCUUUAGUUUUUAUGGUAUCCAGGCGUAUCAUUAAAGAGAUAGGUUUGACCUUGGUAUGUCCUCUACGCCUGCAGCCGCCACAAAAAUUAUUGUCAACGUAUCAAGUGCUCCUUGGAAGCCGAGCAACUUUUUUCCUGCAAUUUUUUCCCUAUUGUUGAAGAGAAAUGAGUUAUUCCAGUGACCUGUUUUAAAUUGCCCAUCUUGUAUAUUUAAUAUUGUACAAGCAAACUCGCGUUCAACGAUACGAGGAGAAAUUUCGUCGCCGUAUUUCUUUCUGUGAAUUCCUGAACGCUGUAAACAUUUGGCAAGUGAUUAAGCAAAACUCAAGGAUUAGAA
This is a long non-coding RNA of Megalopta genalis, 703 nucleotides long. RefSeq lists it as uncharacterized. Lineage: Eukaryota; Metazoa; Arthropoda; Insecta; Hymenoptera; Halictidae. The record is from RefSeq and is a predicted model, not a curated record.